GACGAACGCUGGCGGCGUGCUUAACACAUGCAGGUCGAACGGAAAGGCCCUGCUUUUGUGGGGUGCUCGAGUGGCGAACGGGUGAGUAACACGUGAGUAACCUGCCCUUGACUUUGGGAUAACUUCAGGAAACUGGGGCUAAUACCGGAUAGGAGCUCCUGCUGCAUGGUGGGGGUUGGAAAGUUUCGGCGGUUGGGGAUGGACUCGCGGCUUAUCAGCUUGUUGGUGGGGUAGUGGCUUACCAAGGCUUUGACGGGUAGCCGGCCUGAGAGGGUGACCGGCCACAUUGGGACUGAGAGACGGCCCAGACUCCUACGGGAGGCAGCAGGGGGGAAGAUGGCACAAUGGGCGGAAGCAUGAUGCAGCAACGCCGGGUGCGGGAGGACGGCCUUCGGGUGGUAAACAGCUUUCGCAUGUGACGAAGCGUGAGUGACGGUAAUGGGGAAAGAAGCACCGGCGAAUUACGU
Molecule: ribosomal RNA, 467 nt
Filed under: uncultured bacterium
Lineage: Bacteria
Description: partial 16S ribosomal RNA
Rfam family: Bacterial small subunit ribosomal RNA
Source: RNAcentral